Molecule: small nuclear RNA, 140 nt
Filed under: Procambarus clarkii (red swamp crayfish)
Lineage: Eukaryota; Metazoa; Arthropoda; Malacostraca; Decapoda; Cambaridae
Description: U4 spliceosomal RNA
Rfam family: U4 spliceosomal RNA
About the family: U4 small nuclear RNA (U4 snRNA) is a component of the major U2-dependent spliceosome. The structure of U4 snRNA from yeast and human has been reported. U4 snRNA presents a k-turn RNA motif in the 5p-SL related to recognition of Snu13 protein.
Source: RNAcentral
AGCUUUGCGCAGUGGCAGUAUCGUAACCAAUGAGGUACAUCCGAGGUGCGAUUAUUGCUAGUUGAAAACUUUAACCAAUACACGCUGGGUCGGCGUGUAAAAGCGUCGGCUACGGCAAUUUUUGUUAGCCCGUUCAAGGG